ACCUGGGAACUUUCGUUUGGGAAGGAAGGAGAGGAGGAAUGUGAAUGCGAUGAGAUCGGCGGUGGUGGUGCUCGGAGCAUUGGCAUUUGGGUACCUAACUCUGCAGCUCGGAUUCAAGCCAUAUCUUGAAAGAGCCCAAAUUGCUGCUGACCAAUCUGAGCUCUCUUCUUCCUCAGAGCAACUACAACAAGAACAAGAACAACCCAACUCGAGCUCAACCCGCCAUUUCUAAGCCCUUUUGGCCGCGGCCAGAUGCAGAGGCCUUUUGAGGAGGCAACAUUCUCUCUCAAGGUUGGGGAGAUAAGUGAAAUUGUGGAUACAGACAGUGGAGUUCAUAUCAUCCUGAGGACCGGUUGAUCAGUUGGAAGUGAAACUUGUUGAUUUUUGAGCAUCCAAGUUUAUCAGUAAUAUAUGGAUUGUUGCUUUCUUUUGUUAUUGCCAAUGACUAGCCAUUCAUAGUGUAUGAAGCAAAAUUGGCUAACUAGAUGGAUUUGAACACUUCUUUUGAUAACAUUUAUUAUGGGAAUUUUAUGGUUGUGAUUUGGAACUUUGGAUUUCCUAUGAAGUUUUAUUCUGUGUAUUUCACAAUUCUGAUGUUAUGGCUAAUAAUAACUUUGAUCUGAAGUAUCA
Molecule: long non-coding RNA, 630 nt
Organism: Rosa chinensis
Lineage: Eukaryota; Viridiplantae; Streptophyta; Magnoliopsida; Rosales; Rosaceae
Exons: 2
Source: RefSeq, a predicted model, not a curated record